GUGGGGAAUCUUGCGCAAUGGGCGAAAGCCUGACGCAGCCAUGCCGCGUGAAUGAUGAAGGUCUUAGGAUUGUAAAAUUCUUUCACCGGGGACGAUAAUGACGGUACCCGGAGAAGAAGCCCCGGCUAACUUCGUGCCAGCAGCCGCGGUAAUACGAAGGGGGCUAGCGUUGCUCGGAAUUACUGGGCGUAAAGGGCGCGUAGGCGGACAGUUUAGUCAGAGGUGAAAGCCCAGGGCUCAACCUUGGAAUUGCCUUUGAUACUGGCUGUCUGGAGUUUGGGAGAGGUGAGGGGAACUCCGAGUGUAGAGGUGAAAUUCGUAGAUAUUCGGAAGAACACCAGUGGCGAAGGCGACUCACUGGCCCAAUACUGACGCUGAGGCGCGAAAGCGUGGGGAGCAAACAGGAUUAGAUACCCCGGUAGUCC
Molecule: ribosomal RNA, 425 nt
Filed under: uncultured bacterium
Lineage: Bacteria
Description: partial 16S ribosomal RNA
Rfam family: Bacterial small subunit ribosomal RNA
Source: RNAcentral